Molecule: long non-coding RNA, 224 nt
Organism: Salvia splendens (bonfire salvia)
Lineage: Eukaryota; Viridiplantae; Streptophyta; Magnoliopsida; Lamiales; Lamiaceae
Exons: 3
Source: RefSeq, a predicted model, not a curated record
CCUCAGAGACACAAUCAAGGAUGGAACUCGUCUCUUCCUCCUUGAUGAAGGAAUUCGUAGACAGCUUCUUCUUGCUCUUACUGAAGACUCAAAACUUCAUAUACAAGAGCUUGUAGAUGUGUACAGACUGCUCGAGGACCAGAUUGAUGUACCUUCAGUAGCUCUGCAAGUUGCACAAGAUCUUCCUUCUGUUGCUCGGGAUGUAAUACUUUCGUGGAGCGCGU